This 497-nucleotide ribosomal RNA is filed under the name uncultured bacterium. Its description in RNAcentral is "partial 16S ribosomal RNA". It matches the Rfam family "Bacterial small subunit ribosomal RNA", at positions 28 to 507 of the family's 1533-position model. The record is from RNAcentral.
GAUGAACGCUGGCGGCGUGCCUAAUACAUGCAAGUCGAGCGAACAGACGAGGAGCUUGCUCCUCUGACGUUAGCGGCGGACGGGUGAGUAACACGUGGAUAACCUACCUAUAAGACUGGGAUAACUUCGGGAAACCGGAGCUAAUACCGGAUAAUAUAUUGAAUCGCAUGGUUCAAUAGUGAAAGACGGUUUUGCUGUCACUUAUAGAUGGAUCCGCGCCGCAUUAGCUAGUUGGUAAGGUAACGGCUUACCAAGGCAACGAUGCGUAGCCGACCUGAGAGGGUGAUCGGCCACACUGGAACUGAGACACGGUCCAGACUCCUACGGGAGGCAGCAGUAGGGAAUCUUCCGCAAUGGGCGAAAGCCUGACGGAGCAACGCCGCGUGAGUGAUGAAGGUCUUCGGAUCGUAAAACCCUGUUAUUAGGGAAGAACAAAUGUGUAAGUAACUAUGCACGUCUUGACGGUACCUAAUCAGAAAGCCACGGCUAACUACGUG